This 1710-nucleotide unclassified non-coding RNA is filed under the name Hevea brasiliensis (rubber tree). Lineage: Eukaryota; Viridiplantae; Streptophyta; Magnoliopsida; Malpighiales; Euphorbiaceae. The record is from RNAcentral.
CUUCCACAAACUUUUCUUUUUUUCUCCUCCUCUCCCAAAACACCCUACAGGGAAAAAGAAAAGGAAAAAAAGGACUAAAAUUAUCACUAAGCGAAUGUUUCCUUCUUGUUGGAUAGAGAAUGGAAGCUGAUGUUUCUAUUCUUUCGACAAAGUUAAAAAAAAAAAGAUUUCUUUUUUGUGGGAUUUUCUUGAAAAUUAGCGUAUAGUGUUGUGGGGUUUUGUGAGAUUUGGGUUGUGCUUGUGGAGUCAAAGAUGGUGAAUUGAAUAGUGGGUUUUUGGGUUUCUUCUUAUUUUAUUGAUAAUUGGCAGAGAGGGUUUGUUAGAGAUGAUGAAUUUGUGGGUAUUUUGGUACUUGAGUGUUGUUUGUUUUUUGGGUUGUAGAGUUCUUGGUAAUGUGGUUUUGGUAGGAAAGAAUGAAACUUUAUCGUUUGAAGACAUUGAAGCUAAUUUUGCUCCCUCAGUAAGAGGAUCAGGCAAAUGCGGGAUAUUGUAUGUGGCGGAGCCUUUAGAUGCCUGCUCGACUUUGACCAACAAGGUUGAACCAGUUAAAAAUAGCACCCAUGAUCUGUUCUUGCUGAUAAUAAGGGGUGGAUGUAGUUUUGAAGAUAAAGUCAGACAAGCCCAGGCGGCAGGUUCCAAGGCAGCCAUUAUCUACAACGAUGAAUACGGUGAUCUAGUUGCAAUGGCAGGAAACUCUGCUGGUGUACAGAUACCCGCGGUGUUUGUUUCUAGAGUUUCAGGGGAAAAAAUGACAAAGUAUGCUGGUGACAUUGAUGUUGAAGUAUGGAUAAUCCCAAGCUUUGAGAACUCUGCCUGGUCCAUCAUGGCUAUAUCAUUCAUUUCGUUACUAGCUAUGUCAGCAGUGCUUGCUACCUGUUUCUUUGUCCGUAGACAUCGGAUACGAAGAGACCGGCCUCGGGCCUCACGCUUUCGUGAAUUUCAUGGAAUGAGUAGUCAUUUGGUGAAAGCUAUGCCAAGCUUGAUAUUUACAUCAGUUUUGGAGGAUAAUUGUACAUCAGUAACAUGUGCUAUCUGUCUUGAAGACUAUAUUGUGGGAGACAAGCUUAGAAUUCUUCCUUGCAGGCACAAAUUUCAUGCUAUGUGCGUUGAUGCGUGGCUUACAUCAUGGAGAACGUUUUGCCCCGUCUGUAAACGUGAUGCAAGGACUAGCAAUGGUGAGCCACCAGCAUCAGAAUCUACGCCAUUGCUUUCUUCUAGUCUAGCUUCUUUAUCUUCGUUGUCAUCCCUAAGAUCAUCAUUAGCUUCAUCAUCAGCAAUACAAAUAGGCCAAGGAGCAUCCCGAUCCCCUUCAGUUUCUCGUCCUCAAUCAAUUUCUAGUACUCCUUAUAAUCAUCAGUCGCUUCAGUCCUACCAUCAGUCACCUCAUCUUACUAUAAGCCGCAGUUCACUUGACCUUCAAAAUGCGUCUUCCCAGAGAUCUCGUGCAUCUUAUUUGAUUUCCCCUCACUCAUUGGGUUAUCCUUCUUUAUCUCCUCUUAAUUCAAGAUACAUGUCACCAUAUAUUCCUAGUCCAGGAAAUGCCUCGUCCAGUUAUAUAGGCUCCUCAAGUCGGCAUCCCAACCCACUGCGUCAUAGUGAGUCAACUACUAGCUUUUCGCCAUUUGCUUCAGCUCAGUCUCUUCCGGGAUGUGAGUCAUGAUGUGUCGUUUCUAGAAAAUCUGGGUUCAAGUCUGUACUACCCUUUUAACC